UCUCGAGAGUCCGCUGGACGGAGCGGUGCGUUGCGCCUCCACGCCGCCCCUCUCCCCCGCUCGCUCACUUCGCCGCCCACCACGCCCAUGGCCGCCGCAGCCGCCACCGCGCCCUAGGCAUCGAGCGAGGCCAGAUGCUCUCCCUGGGCGCCCUCCGCAAGCUCUGCGCAGCCUUUGACGCCGUCGCGCUCACCGUCAUCGCUGCGGGGCUCUCGCGCCCGCCCUCGGGCCGCCACCCUUUCUCCUCCGCGCACGCGCACUCCUCGCACCCCGCUGACUUCCCCACCAUCGCCGCCUGCCGCGCCGCGAUAUCCGCCUCCAAGGGUGACCGCCGCCGCCGACCCGGCGUCGGCCAGCCCUCCUCCUCCCCUUCCCCCUCUCUCGCAGCCGCUGCAGCCAAGGAGGAGCAGGAGCAGCCGGUGCUGGUAAGGAUCAAGCACGAGCGGGACCCGGAGCGGCUGUACCAGCUGUUCAGGGCCAAUGCGCACAACCGCCUCCUGGUGGAGAACCGCUUCGCGUUCGAGGACGCGGUGGCGCGCCUGGCGGGUGCUCGUCGGAAUGACCUCGUCGAGGAGAUCCUCGAGCAGCACAAGGCGCUGCCCCAGGGGAGGCGGGAAGGGUUCGUGGUCAGGAUCAUCGGCCUGUACGGGAAGGCCGGGAUGCCAGGCCACGCGCUACGGACUUUCCAGGAGAUGGGGAUGUACGGGUGCCCGCGCACCGCAAAGUCGCUCAAUGCCACCAUGAAGGUCCUGCUGCGGGCACGGAUGUUUGAUGAGGCUCUGUCGCUGUUUGAGGAGGGGCCAGAGAAGUACGACGUCGAGGUGGAUGACAUCUCGUGUAACACGGUGGUGAAGAUGUUCUGCGACAUGGGGGACUUGCGUGCGGCGUACCAGGUCAUGCAGGGGAUGGAGAGGGCUGGUGUGCGGCCGGAUGUCAUCACGUACACGACGCUCAUGGCUGCUUUCUAUAAGUGUGGCCGACGCGAGGUUGGGGAUGGUUUGUGGAAUCUCAUGAGGCUGAGGGGUUGUGUGCCGACACUUGCUACCUACAAUGUGAGGAUCCAGUUCCUGGUUAACAGGGGAAGGGGGUGGCAGGCAAAUGAGUUGGCACGGAAAAUGUAUGUGGCGGGGAUCAAACCAGAUGAGAUCACAUACAAUCUAAUUAUCAAGGGUUUCUUCAUGAUGGGUGAGCAUGAGAUGGCCAAGACGGUCUUUGGCGCGAUGCACGGGAGGGGAUGCAAGCCAAACAGUAAGGUUUACCAGACAAUGGUCCAUUACCUCUGUGAGAGAAGGGACUUUGAUUUGGCAUUCAGGUUGUGCAAGGAUAGCAUGGAGAAAAAUUGGUUUCCGAGUGUCGAUACUAUUAACCAACUGUUGAAAGGCCUCAUGGCUAUCUCAAAGGAUAGGAAUGGGAAAGAGAUAAUGAAGUUGGUUACUGGGAGAAAACCUUCGUAUUCAGAUGGUGAAAUGAGGGUCUUCAAAGAUAUAUUAUCUCAUAGGAAGACUGGAAGAUAAGUUGAUGUCUGGAUAGGAAAUUUGCUGUAAAUCCACCACUUGUAACUGUAAGGCUGUUGUUGACAUUCUUUUAUCACUCCGUUUUCAUAGUCAAGUUGAAAUGGGGUUGAUCCAAGGGUUUUGAAUAUUGAAUCAUCCUGUCGGGCAACAGUUUUACAGCUCCUUAAAAUAAGUUAGUGUAAGUUAUAGGAAUUCCGUACCUGUAGCAGAAGUAUCAUGAUUCAUGAAUGACACCAUGACAAGGACUUUGAGAGCUGGAGGUUCUGUUUUAUACUUUCGUUGGCUAAUGUUGGAUUUUUAUAGAAAGUUGUGAUCGUAAUAAUUCAACAUAACUACAUAAGAAUGUGAUGUUGGCACAUUCAUUGGGAAAACUUAUGAGAGUCAGUGGUGUCCGCAAGUGUUUAGGAUAGAGUUUGUUCAGGAGUUGUAUCAGUUCAGCCAUGGUUUGUUCAAUUGAGUCAAGGGUCCAGAGUUUGUUCUAUGCUUUUAGUUGGAGAAAAAAAAGUGUUUGUUAUUUGGUUCCACCUACUUAACAUGAGUGGUGUUCCAGUUGUAAUUAAGAAGAAAUAAAGUUGAUUCCAUCUAAAGAUGUUGUUCAGAGCCCCCUUACGAAGGCAGAUGAUAGUUACACAGCUUUUAAUUGUCCCUGAGGAUGCUUGAUAUUGGCCUACUGCAGCAAGUCUGGCUCGGAACUUCCUGAGAUACUUUGAGCCACCGCUGUUUGGAGGGCUGCGGUGGCUUGGCGUCGGCAAGAAUGUGGCUCAACGUCGUGGCUGCAGCCCGACAGUCGCGGACGUUCUGGAGCGAAAACCAGGAUUAACCAUCUGCUGCAACGCCAACGCCUGGGACAUGGGCUGCAGGAACAAGUGCCAUCCAGACAUUCGCUUUCCUUUCCUCAGUAAGUGGACAUUCAGAAAGUAGAUGUGCCGGAUCUAACCCAUCCAUCUGUGGUGGCGUCUGCUGACUUUGGUUGCACUAAAAGUUUUCUUCAGGACUUGUUACUGCCAUUUGAGUUGAUACUGUGAUGCCCAAUUUU
Molecule: RNA transcript, 2550 nt
Organism: Zea mays
Lineage: Eukaryota; Viridiplantae; Streptophyta; Magnoliopsida; Poales; Poaceae
Gene name: Pentatricopeptide repeat-containing protein mitochondrial
Exons: 2
Source: RefSeq, marked provisional